AGUUUGAGGAAUAGCUGGGUUGGGGAUGGAUGUGGGCACAGAACAAGGAGUUUAUGAAAAAGACAGGAAUGGAGCCAACAGGAAGGUAGAAAAUCAAGCAGAGACUGGGAAGUUGAGGAAGCUUUCAUUCCACCAGUGGAAGAUCUGCUGCUGUUGUAUACAAUAGAGAAAGCACUGCUGCUGUUAGAGAAUGACGUGCAAGCCUCCAGUGCCAUUGGAAGAGCAUGCAUUUUCUGAGAGUCAGGCUCUACAUGUGAAGGGAGUCUGUUAUGUUUCAGUGAUGAGUCAUAUAGGAUGCUACAGAUGGUGCAGAGUGAUGCUUCAAAGAUGUGAAAAAAUACUAAUGGAUCCAAGACUGAAAAUUAACAGAACAAGGUGACUGGGGCCACCAGUGAAAAGAAUGUAAGGUCACAUAGCCUGUACCAUUUCAGGGAGGCAUUGUCUAACCUGGAGCCAUGAGCCUUUUUGAAAUAAUAAUAUUGUCGACCCCCAGUUGUAUGUGCCCAAGGAGAUGGCAAACUUGAGAAACAAGAAUAAUCCUUUCAGCUGGUUUAAAGCUGAGCCCUCACUCUUGGAAUUAAGAAACUGACAAAGGAUGCAAGUUCUUGGUUUAAGGAGCCAAUGGUGUGGUUCCCAGGGACCCUCCCAAAUACACUUCCAAUCUGUUUCUGGAGGACCUGACCUGUAACUCCUGACAAUAUGUUCUGAAUGCUGAAGGAUGGAGAUACACUUUGGAGUAAGAUUCAUAUGAACUUUCAUAAAUUCUUGGGCCAAUGGACUCAAGCCCCUCAUUCAAAGAAAACACCAGAAGAGACUUGGUGUUUUGUGAAAUGGCACAUUCCAAAAUCUCUGUCACUGAGAAAAGGAUGUAAGCUCAGGAUCAAAGCAUCGUCUUCAAAGAAGGGAGACAAGGGAGGAAUGUGUUUUGCUGUUUUGGAUUUCAAGAAAUGAAACAGAAACAAGAGCUGGUUUCUUGAUAACUUUGUUCUUCUACGCUAUGGUCUGUAGAAUGAUACAGUUUCUAGUUUAAUUGGUCUGUGACCUGCAGACCCCUGUGUAAGACUCUUCCAGCUUUGAACAUACCAAAGAAAAUUUUAAAAGAAGAGGGGAGAAAAAA
This 1117-nucleotide long non-coding RNA is filed under the name Homo sapiens (human). Its description in RNAcentral is "novel transcript". The record is from RNAcentral. Lineage: Eukaryota; Metazoa; Chordata; Mammalia; Primates; Hominidae.